GCCAUAGUUAGGGCAGUCAAACCAACUCUCAUACGAGCUCCCGGCGGUUCGUUCAUCUGACCAUAGACUAGAGCCACUUUUGAUUCUGCAAUAUUUUCUUCAUUAAUUACUCCAGAUUCUUUCAUUUCCAUGUAAAGAUCAUUUCCUUCACGAGUACGUUCGCCUACUCCGCCAAAUACGGAUACACCCCCAUGAGCUUUCGCAAUGUUAUUGAUUAAUUCCAUAAUAAGUACUGUUUUACCCACUCCAGCUCCCCCGAAUAGUCCGAUUUUUCCUCCACGGCGAUAAGGGGCUAAAAGAUCUACUACUUUUAUUCCUGUUUCAAAAAUAGAUAAUUUUGUAUCUAACUGUAUAAAGGCAGGCGCAGAUCUAUGAAUAGGGGAUGUUGCGCGAGUAUCUACAGGACCUAAAUCGUCAACAGGUUCUCCAAGCACGUUGAAAAUUCGUCCUAGAGUUGCCCCACCGACUGGAACACUUAGAGGGGCUCCUGUGUCAAUCACUUCCAUUCCUCUCGUUAGACCAUCUGUAGCACUCAUAGCUACAGCGCGAACUCGAUUAUUUCCUAAUAAUUGUUGUACUUCACAAGUCACAUUAAUUUCUUGACCGGCAGUAUCUCGACCCUUAACUACCAGAGCGUUGUAAAUAUUAGGCAUCUUGCCCGGGGGAAAAGCUACAUCUAGCACUGGCCCAAUAAUUUGAGCGAUACGCCCCAGGUUCUUUUUUUCAAGCGCGGAAACUCCCGGACCAGAAGUAGUAGGAUUUAUUCUCAUAAUAAUAAAAAUAAUAAAUAAAAAUAAAAAAUAUGUCGAAAUUUUUUUUUUUUUUUAGUCCAAAAAUAAAUGUUCGACGACAAGUUGAU
This 859-nucleotide unclassified non-coding RNA is filed under the name Hevea brasiliensis (rubber tree). The record is from RNAcentral. Lineage: Eukaryota; Viridiplantae; Streptophyta; Magnoliopsida; Malpighiales; Euphorbiaceae.